AUUGAACGCUGGCGGCAUGCUUUACACAUGCAAGUCGAACGGCAGCGGGGGCUUCGGCCCGCCGGCGAGUGGCGAACGGGUGAGUAAUGCAUCGGAACGUGCCCAGUCGUGGGGGAUAACUACGCGAAAGCGUAGCUAAUACCGCAUACGUCCUGAGGGAGAAAGCGGGGGAGUCUUCGGACCUCGCGCGAUUGGAGCGGCCGAUGUCGGAUUAGCUAGUUGGUGAGGUAAAGGCUCACCAAGGCGACGAUCCGUAGCUGGUCUGAGAGGAUGAUCAGCCACACUGGGACUGAGACACGGCCCAGACUCCUACGGGAGGCAGCAGUGGGGAAUUUUGGACAAUGGGGGAAACCCUGAUCCAGCCAUGCCGCGUGAGUGAAGAAGG
RNAcentral lists this ribosomal RNA (385 nucleotides) under uncultured bacterium. Its description in RNAcentral is "bacterial SSU rRNA". It matches the Rfam family "Bacterial small subunit ribosomal RNA", at positions 29 to 414 of the family's 1533-position model. The record is from RNAcentral.